Molecule: transfer RNA, 71 nt
Filed under: Camelus bactrianus (Bactrian camel)
Lineage: Eukaryota; Metazoa; Chordata; Mammalia; Artiodactyla; Camelidae
Also listed under: 2 other names
Rfam family: tRNA
About the family: Transfer RNA (tRNA) molecules are approximately 80 nucleotides in length. Their secondary structure includes four short double-helical elements and three loops (D, anti-codon, and T loops).
Source: Rfam by way of RNAcentral
GAGGGUAUAGCUCAGUGGCUGAGUGCAUGCCUAGCAUGCACGAGGUCCUGGUUCAAUCCCCAGUGCCUCCA